This 430-nucleotide ribosomal RNA is filed under the name uncultured bacterium. RNAcentral describes it as "bacterial SSU rRNA". It matches the Rfam family "Bacterial small subunit ribosomal RNA", at positions 355 to 776 of the family's 1533-position model. The record is from RNAcentral.
UGGGGAAUCUUGCGCAAUGGCCUAACGGCUGACGCAGCGACGCCGCGUGCGGGAGGAAGGCCUUCGGGUCGUAAACCGCUGUCGGGAGGGAAGAAGCGGCCGGGGGGGAAAUACCCCGGCUCUGACGGUACCUCCAAAGGAAGCACCGGCUAACUCCGUGCCAGCAGCCGCGGUAAUACGGAGGGUGCAAGCGUUGUUCGGAAUUAUUGGGCGUAAAGCGCGCGCAGGCGGCCGGACAAGUCCAUGGGUGAAAGGCCGGGGCUCAACCCCGUGUGUGCCCAGGAUACUGUCGGGCUGGAGACACGUAGAGGCAAGCGGAAUUCCGGGUGUAGCGGUGGAAUGCGUAGAGAUCCGGAAGAACACCGGAGGCGAAGGCGGCUUGCUGGGCGUGAUCUGACGCUGAGGCGCGAAAGCGUGGGGAGCGAACAGG